Molecule: ribosomal RNA, 448 nt
Filed under: uncultured bacterium
Lineage: Bacteria
Description: bacterial SSU rRNA
Rfam family: Bacterial small subunit ribosomal RNA
Source: RNAcentral
AGCGAACGCUGGCGGCAGGCCUAACACAUGCAAGUCGAACGGAUCCUUCGGGAUUAGUGGCAGACGGGUGAGUAACGCGUGGGAACGUGCCCUUUGGUUCGGAACAACACAGGGAAACUUGUGCUAAUACCGGAUGUGCCCUUCGGGGGAAAGGAUUUAUCGCCAUUGGAGCGGCCCGCGUUGGAUUAGGUAGUUGGUGAGGUAAAGGCUCACCAAGCCUACGAUCCAUAGCUGGUCUGAGAGGAUGAUCAGCCACACUGGGACUGAGACACGGCCCAGACUCCUACGGGAGGCAGCAGUGGGGAAUCUUGCGCAAUGGGCGAAAGCCUGACGCAGCCAUGCCGCGUGAAUGAUGAAGGUCUUAGGAUUGUAAAAUUCUUUCAGCAGGGACGAUAAUGACGGUACCUGCAGAAGAAGCCCCGGCUAACUUCGUGGCAGCCGCCGCCGU